This is a non-coding RNA of Chiloscyllium plagiosum (whitespotted bambooshark), 262 nucleotides long. Lineage: Eukaryota; Metazoa; Chordata; Chondrichthyes; Orectolobiformes; Hemiscylliidae. The record is from RefSeq and is a predicted model, not a curated record.
AGUAAAUGUGAGAAGACCUUGAUUACACCGUCCGAAUCCUUCUCUACUCGAUCAUCUUCCUCCUAAGUGUUUUCGGCAAUACGAUGGUUAUUUUGGUGCUGAUUCUCAACAAGAGAUUGCGGACAGUCACCAACUCCUUCCUGCUCUCACUGGCCCUGAGUGACCUGAUGGUGGCUGUUUUCUGUAUGCCAUUCACUCUCAUCCCCAACCUGCUGGGAGACUUCAUCUUUGGGCAGGCCAUGUGUAAGAUCACCGCGUAUUU